CAGUCUGCAACUCGACUGCACGAAGCUGGAAUCGCUAGUAAUCGCGGAUCAGCACGCCGCGGUGAAUACGUUCCCGGGCCUUGUACACACCGCCCGUCACACCAUGGAAGUCUGCAAUGCCCGAAGCCGGUGGCCUAACCACUUAUGUGGAAGGAGCCGUCUAAGGCAGGGCAGAUGACUGGGGUGAAGUCGUAACAAGGUAUC
RNAcentral lists this ribosomal RNA (204 nucleotides) under uncultured bacterium. RNAcentral describes it as "partial 16S ribosomal RNA". It matches the Rfam family "Bacterial small subunit ribosomal RNA", at positions 1301 to 1500 of the family's 1533-position model. The record is from RNAcentral.